GACGAACGCUGGCGGCGUGCUUAACACAUGCAAGUCGAACGUAAAGGCCCUGCUUUUGUGGGGUGCUCGAGUGGCGAACGGGUGAGUAACACGUGAGUAUCCUGCCCUUGACUUUGGGAUAACUUCAGGAAACUGGGGCUAAUACCGGAUAGGAGCUCCUGCUUCAUGGUGGGGUUUGGAAUGUUUCGGCGGUUGGGGAUGGACCCGCGGCUUAUCAGAUUGGUGGUGGGGUAGUGGCUUACCAAGGCUUUGACGGGUAGCCGGCCUGAGAGGGUGACCGGCCGCAUUGGGACUGAGAUACGGCCCAGACUCAUACGGGAGGCAGCAGUGGGGAAUAUUGCACAAUGGGAGGAAGCCUGAUGCAGCAACGCCGCGUGCGGGAUGACGGCCUUCGGGUUGUAAACCGCUUUAGCCUGUGACGAAGCUUGAGUGACGGUAAUGUGUAAAGAAGCACCGGCUAACUACGUG
Molecule: ribosomal RNA, 468 nt
Filed under: uncultured bacterium
Lineage: Bacteria
Description: partial 16S ribosomal RNA
Rfam family: Bacterial small subunit ribosomal RNA
Source: RNAcentral